RNAcentral lists this ribosomal RNA (497 nucleotides) under uncultured bacterium. RNAcentral's name for it is "partial 16S ribosomal RNA". It matches the Rfam family "Bacterial small subunit ribosomal RNA", at positions 28 to 507 of the family's 1533-position model. The record is from RNAcentral.
GAUGAACGCUGGCGGCGUGCCUAAUACAUGCAAGUCGAGCGAACGGACGAGAAGCUUGCUUCUCUGAUGUUAGCGGCGGACGGGCGAGUAACACGUGGAUAACCUACCUAUAAGACUGGGAUAACUUCGGGAAACCGGAGCUAAUACCGGAUAAUAUUUUGAACCGCAUGGUUCAAAAGUAAAAGACGGUCUUGCUGUCACUUAUAGAUGGAUCCGCGCUGCAUUAGCUAGUUGGUAAGGUAACGGCUUACCAAGGCAACGAUGCAUAGCCGACCUGAGAGGGUGAUCGGCCACACUGGAACUGAGACACGGUCCAGACUCCUACGGGAGGCAGCAGUAGGGAAUCUUCCGCAAUGGGCGAAAGCCUGACGGAGCAACGCCGCGUGAGCGAUGAAGGUCUUCGGAUCGUAAAACUCUGUUAUUAGGGAAGAACAUAUGUGUAAGUAACUGUGCACAUCUUGACGGUACCUAAUCAGAAAGCCACGGCUAACUACGUG